GCCCAGGUGGUGUAGCGGUCUAGCAUUCUGGCCUGUCACGCCGGCGACCGGGGUUCGAAUCCCCGCCUGGGCG
RNAcentral lists this transfer RNA (73 nucleotides) under Microcaldota archaeon. RNAcentral describes it as "Candidatus Micrarchaeota archaeon (hot springs metagenome) tRNA-Asp". It matches the Rfam family "tRNA". Rfam says of the family: Transfer RNA (tRNA) molecules are approximately 80 nucleotides in length. RNAcentral also lists the same sequence under 1 other name. The record is from RNAcentral. Lineage: Archaea; Nanobdellati; Microcaldota.